This 71-nucleotide transfer RNA is filed under the name Hariotina sp. MMOGRB0030F. RNAcentral describes it as "tRNA-Gly". It matches the Rfam family "tRNA". Rfam says of the family: Transfer RNA (tRNA) molecules are approximately 80 nucleotides in length. Their secondary structure includes four short double-helical elements and three loops (D, anti-codon, and T loops). Further hydrogen bonds mediate the characteristic L-shaped molecular structure. tRNAs have two regions of fundamental functional importance: the anti-codon, which is responsible for specific mRNA codon recognition, and the 3' end, to which the tRNAs corresponding amino acid is attached (by aminoacyl-tRNA synthetases). tRNAs cope with the degeneracy of the genetic code in two manners: having more than one tRNA (with a specific anti-codon) for a particular amino acid; and 'wobble' base-pairing, i.e. permitting non-standard base-pairing at the 3rd anti-codon position. Lineage: Eukaryota; Viridiplantae; Chlorophyta; Chlorophyceae; Sphaeropleales; Scenedesmaceae. The record is from RNAcentral.
GCGGAUAUAGCUCAAUGGUAGAGUGGCAGCCUUCCAAGCUGUUAGUGAGAGUUCGAGUCUCUCUAUCCGCU